CCUACGGGCGGCAGCAGUGGGGAAUAUUGGACAAUGGGGGCAACCCUGAUCCGGCCAUGCCGCGUGUGUGAAGAAGGCCCUCGGGUUGUAAAGCACUUUCAGUGAGGAAGAACGCCUGGUGGUUAAUACCCAUCAGGAAAGACAUCACUCACAGAAGAAGCACCGGCUAACUCCGUGCCAGCAGCCGCGGUAAUACGGAGGGUGCGAGCGUUAAUCGGAAUCACUGGGCGUAAAGCGCGCGUAGGUGGCUUGAUAAGCCGGUUGUGAAAGCCCCGGGCUCAACCUGGGAACGGCAUCCGGAACUGUCAAGCUAGAGUGCAGGAGAGGAAGGUAGAAUUCCCGGUGUAGCGGUGAAAUGCGUAGAGAUCGGGAGGAAUACCAGUGGCGAAGGCGGCCUUCUGGACUGACACUGACACUGAGGUGCGAAAGCGUGGGUAGCAAACAGGAUUAGAUACCCCGGUAGUC
This 465-nucleotide ribosomal RNA is filed under the name Vreelandella stevensii. RNAcentral describes it as "partial 16S ribosomal RNA". It matches the Rfam family "Bacterial small subunit ribosomal RNA", at positions 338 to 795 of the family's 1533-position model. The record is from RNAcentral. Lineage: Bacteria; Pseudomonadati; Pseudomonadota; Gammaproteobacteria; Oceanospirillales; Halomonadaceae.